GAUGAACGCUGGCGGCGUGCCUAAUACAUGCAAGUCGAGCGAACAGACGAGGAGCUUGCUCCUCUGACGUUAGCGGCGGACGGGUGAGUAACACGUGGAUAACCUACCUAUAAGACUGGGAUAACUUCGGGAAACCGGAGCUAAUACCGGAUAAUAUAUUGAACCGCAUGGUUCAAUAGUGAAAGACGGUUUUGCUGUCACUUAUAGAUGGAUCCGCGCCGCAUUAGCUAGUUGGUAAGGUAACGGCUUACCAAGGCAACGAUGCGUAGCCGACCUGAGAGGGUGAUCGGCCACACUGGAACUGAGACACGGUCCAGACUCCUACGGGAGGCAGCAGUAGGGAAUCCUCCGCAAUGGGCGAAAGCCUGACGGGGCAACGCCGCGUGAGUGAUGAAGGUCUUCGGAUCGUAAAACUCUGUUAUUAGGGAAGAACAAAUGUGUAAGUAACUAUGCACGUCUUGACGGUACCUAAUCAGAAAGCCACGGCUAACUACGUG
Molecule: ribosomal RNA, 497 nt
Filed under: uncultured bacterium
Lineage: Bacteria
Description: partial 16S ribosomal RNA
Rfam family: Bacterial small subunit ribosomal RNA
Source: RNAcentral